This is a long non-coding RNA of Liolophura sinensis, 334 nucleotides long. RefSeq lists it as uncharacterized. Lineage: Eukaryota; Metazoa; Mollusca; Polyplacophora; Chitonida; Chitonidae. The transcript is spliced from 3 exons. The record is from RefSeq and is a predicted model, not a curated record.
GAAAUCAUGAUCAAUUCAUACAGUUAGAAAAAGAUUAAACUCGUAUAACAAACUGUUUUUGUUUAUUUAGAAUUCCAACUGUCAGGUGGAGACAUUGUGUGGGCAAAGGUGAAAGGCUGGCCAUACUGGCCUGCUGUGACAAACCUGGGGUCUUUUCAGAAGAGCAUAGAACUAUUGAACGGUCUGUGGUGGAGAAUGUGGAAAGUUUUAGAAAGUGGAUGCUAAAGCUGUGUGUACAGACCACUUGGAAGCUGUAUAACUAUCAGGAAGUACUACCCAGAACGAAAGAAACUAAAGCAACCUGCCAGGGCAUCCCUCUUGUUCAUUAAUGAUG